Molecule: long non-coding RNA, 275 nt
Filed under: dengue virus type 1
Lineage: Riboviria; Orthornavirae; Kitrinoviricota; Flasuviricetes; Amarillovirales; Flaviviridae
Description: Dengue virus 1 partial sfRNA1
Rfam family: Flavivirus DB element (bases 149-220)
Source: RNAcentral
AAGAAGUCAGGCCGAUCUAAGCCAUAGCACGGUAAGAGCUAUGCUGCCUGUGAGCCCCGUCCAAGGACGUAAAAAGAAGUCAGGCCGAAAGCCACGGCUUGAGCAAACCGUGCUGCCUGUAGCUCCAUCGUGGGGAUGUAAAAACCCGGGAGGCUGCAACCCAUGGAAGCUGUACGCAUGGGGUAGCAGACUAGUGGUUAGAGGAGACCCCUCCCAAGAUACAACGCAGCAGCGGGGCCCAACACCAGGGGAAGCUGUACCCUGGUGGUAAGGAC